UACGUAGGGUGCGAGCGUUAAUCGGAAUUACUGGGCGUAAAGCGUGCGCAGGCGGUUCGUUAAGUCAGAUGUGAAAGCCCCGAGCUCAACUUGGGAACUGCAUUUGAAACUGGCGGGCUGGAGUGUGGCAGAGGGGGGUGGAAUUCCACGUGUAGCAGUGAAAUGCGUAGAGAUGUGGAGGAACACCGAUGGCGAAGGCAGCCCCCUGGGCCAACACUGACGCUCAUGCACGAAAGCGUGGGGAGCAAACAGG
Molecule: ribosomal RNA, 253 nt
Filed under: uncultured bacterium
Lineage: Bacteria
Description: partial 16S ribosomal RNA
Rfam family: Bacterial small subunit ribosomal RNA
Source: RNAcentral